AUGAAACUGACCUGCGUGACCACCCCCGGCAGAGGCGGCGGCUACCACUCGCCUGCGAGCCACUUACUGGAGCUGGAGGGGGUCCGCCUCCUCCUAGACUGCCCCGUCGACCUCUCGGCCCUCGCAGCAUUCGCCCCGGUGCCACUCGGCGCGGACUCCGGUGACGCGGGGAAGCUCAUCCGCGCGGUGCCGUACUACUGGUCGCUGGCGGCGCCGGCGGCCGCCAAAGCAGGUGGCGUGGAUGCUGUGCUUGUGUCGUCUGCCACGGGGAUGCUUGGGCUCCCCUUCCUCACCCGGCUCCCAAGCUUCGCAAAUACCAAGGUUUAUGUUACAGAGUUAGCUGCAAGGAUUGGAAAGCUAAUGAUGGGGGAGCUCGUGGAGAUGCACUCUGAGUUUGUAAGGUACUACGGGCCAGAUACGGAUGUGCCACCCAAGUGGAUGCAAGGGGAGAAACUCCAUAAACUCCUGUCGUCGUUGCAGAAUAUAGUGAUUGAAGAUGAGGGAAUGGAUUUAGCUCCUUUGAUGCCCCUUUACAGUGCCCCAAACAUAGAAGAAUGCAUGCGAAAAACCCAGACUGUGAAAUACGGAGAGGAGGUCUGCUUCAAUGGCAUGUUGAUGCUGAAAGCCUCUAGCUCUGGCCUGGAGCUUGGCAAUUGUGUCUGGUCAAUAAAGGGUCCGAGAGCAAGUAUUACCUACUUGCCAAGCACCAUGUUUGUGUCAGCCCAUGCCUUAGAUUGCGACUAUAACUCUCUGAAGGAAAAUGAUGUCAUUUUGUUUUCAGAUUUCUCAUCCUUGAAUGACAUGGAUGAGAAUAAUGAGAAUCUGGGUGAGAAUGCAAUGCUUUGUGAUGACUCUGUGUUGAGGGAUGGUGGUGUUGAUGAGGAUGAAGACGUCCAGUGCCUGUCUAAGAAUGAUGAUAUUGCAGAGGAGAUUGAGAGAAUCAGUUUCAUAUGCUCAUGUAUAUCAGAUGCAAUUAAAUCUGGAGGUUCUGUUUUAAUACCAAUAGGACGACUUGGGGUUAUUCUUUUAAUUUUGGAACAUAUAUCAGAAACGUUACUUUCUUCCAACAUGAAGGUACCCAUAUUUAUGAUUUCUGGCGCAGCAGAAAAAAUAAUAUCCUUUACCAAUGCUGUGCCAGAAUGGCUAUGUAAGCCACGCCAAGAAAAGCUAUUCUCGAGGGAGGAGGAGGCAUUAUUCGGCCAUGUGGAGCUUCUGAAGGAAGGCAGACUAUUUCUGUUUCCUCAUCUAUAUUCAAAGGGCCUGCUGGCAGCGUGGAAGGAGCCCUGCAUUGUAUUUUGUCCAGACUGGAGCCUUAGGCACAGCACAGCAGUCCAUUUGCUUCGUCGGUGGCAUGCAGAUAAACGAAAUCUUCUUAUUUUGGAGGAAGGAGUUGAUUCUGAGUUGACUCUUAAGCCUUUCAUGCCUGUGGCAAUCCAAGUUCUUGAAUGUUCUUUCCUUUCUGGAAUAAAGGUGCGGAAAGUCAAUCCAUUGCUGUCAGUUCUCAAACCGAAGCUCGUUCUGUUCCCUGAAGAACUGAAGUCGCGGUGUCCAUCAAAGGAGGAUGCCCCAUGGUCAUAUCUGUACUACUCCAAGGGCAAAACCAUGGAGAUCCCAAACAUACGGGAAGACUUCGAGGUGGGGCUUCCAACCGAUUUUGCCUUUGGGUUGCAGCCUAGGCAGUUGGACAAGGCCAUCGCCGUCGCGAGGCUGAGAGCAAAGCUCCAUCUCAGCAACGGGCAGUACGUGCUGGUAGCAGCUCCAAAGGAUCAGUCCGAUCAGUCGAUGCGGCAGCUGCUACACUGGGGAGCUGUGGAUGCAGCCCGUCUGUUGUCGGCGUUGCAGGAGAAGGGGAUCGCCUGUGCUUUCCCUGCAGACGACGAUGAUAGCUCGGCGGGCUGCGUGCGCUCGAUUUUGAUCACCAGUCCGGCAGAAGCUCUGGUGAAGAUAACAUCUGAAAAGACCAUGAUCUACUGCGACGAUGAGAAUACAACCAAGCAGAUCUAUGAUGCUCUCAGCAGCGUUUGUAAUGGGAUCUAG
RNAcentral lists this ribosomal RNA (2037 nucleotides) under Triticum aestivum (bread wheat). RNAcentral's name for it is "partial small subunit ribosomal RNA". The record is from RNAcentral. Lineage: Eukaryota; Viridiplantae; Streptophyta; Magnoliopsida; Poales; Poaceae.